This 240-nucleotide unclassified non-coding RNA is filed under the name Hyaloscypha sp. RNAcentral's name for it is "partial contains 5.8S ribosomal RNA, internal transcribed spacer 2, and large subunit ribosomal RNA". The stretch from base 1 to 52 matches the Rfam family "5.8S ribosomal RNA", at positions 103 to 154 of the family's 154-position model. RNAcentral also lists the same sequence under 2 other names. Lineage: Eukaryota; Fungi; Ascomycota; Leotiomycetes; Helotiales; Hyaloscyphaceae. The record is from RNAcentral.
AACGCACAUUGCGCCCCUUGGUAUUCCGAGGGGCAUGCCUGUUCGAGCGUCAUUAUAACCACUCAAGCCUCGGCUUGGUCUUGGGGUCCCGCGGUCUCGCGGCCCUUAAAAUCAGUGGCGGUGCCGUCUGGCUCUAAGCGUAGUAAUUCUCUCGCUAUAGGGUCCAGGUGGUGGCUUGCCAAAACCCCCCAUUUUUCUAUGGUUGACCUCGGAUCAGGUAGGGAUACCCGCUGAACUUAA